GCUGGCGGCGUGCCUAAUACAUGCAAGUCGAGCGGAUCUUCAUUAGCUUGCUUUUGAAGAUCAGCGGCGGACGGGUGAGUAACACGUGGGCAAANNGCCUGUAAGACUGGGAUAACUUCGGGAAACCGGAGCUAAUACCGGAUAAUCCUUUCCCUCACAUGAGGGAAAGCUGAAAGACGGUUUCGGCUGUCACUUACAGAUGGGCCCGCGGCGCAUUAGCUAGUUGGUGAGGUAACGGCUCACCAAGGCAACGAUGCGUAGCCGACCUGAGAGGGUGAUCGGCCACACUGGGACUGAGACACGGCCCAGACUCCUACGGGAGGCAGCAGUAGGGAAUCUUCCGCAAUGGACGAAAGUCUGACGGAGCAACGCCGCGUGAACGAUGAAGGCCUUCGGGUCGUAAAGUUCUGUUGUCAGGGAAGAACAAGUACCGGAGUAACUGCCGGUACCUUGACGGUACCUGACCAGAAAGCCACGGCUAACUACGUGCCAGCAGCCGCGGUAAUAC
This 508-nucleotide ribosomal RNA is filed under the name uncultured marine bacterium. RNAcentral describes it as "bacterial SSU rRNA". It matches the Rfam family "Bacterial small subunit ribosomal RNA", at positions 35 to 526 of the family's 1533-position model. The record is from RNAcentral.